This 70-nucleotide transfer RNA is filed under the name Dipodomys ordii (Ord's kangaroo rat). It matches the Rfam family "tRNA". From Rfam's summary of the family: Transfer RNA (tRNA) molecules are approximately 80 nucleotides in length. Lineage: Eukaryota; Metazoa; Chordata; Mammalia; Rodentia; Heteromyidae. The record is from Rfam by way of RNAcentral.
GGGAAUAUGGCUUAGUGGUAGAGUACUUGCCUAGCACGCAUGAAGACCUGGGUUCAAUUCCUCAGUACCA